This 253-nucleotide ribosomal RNA is filed under the name uncultured bacterium. RNAcentral describes it as "partial 16S ribosomal RNA". It matches the Rfam family "Bacterial small subunit ribosomal RNA", at positions 524 to 776 of the family's 1533-position model. The record is from RNAcentral.
GACGUAGGGCGCGAGCGUUGUCCGGAUUUAUUGGGCGUAAAGAGCUCGUAGGCGGCUUGUUGCGUCGACUGUGAAAACCCGCGGCUUAACUGCGGGCUUGCAGUUGAUACGGGCAGGCUAGAGUUCGGUAGGGGAGACUGGAAUUCCUGGUGUAGCGGUGAAAUGCGCAGAUAUCAGGAGGAACACCGAUGGCGAAGGCAGGUCUCUGGGCAUUAACUGACGCUGAGGAGCGAAAGCAUGGGGAGCGAACAGG